UGCUACACUUUCUUGUAAAAAUAAUAUGCCCACUCACUAGCUUUCCCUUGAAGUCCCUGAAUCUCUUAGCUACACUAGAGAGGAAAUUCUUUUUGAUUACACUACUACAAAAGCCUUGGUUUAUGGACGCCAAGAGAUCGACGCUUGAAUAUGAGCAUUGGUGGAAUAAAUUAAUUCCCGCUUAUCCACGACGCUUUUUUCCGUCCAGAACAAUGUAGACAACUUUAGGCGUCGAGAAUACAUGUGCAAUCCACGUGAUCUUGGCAAAUUAACUACAGGUUACCCGCAACUUCACAUUUUUCUGGAAAAAGAAAAACUACCUCAUUGAAUAGCUCCCACCCCUCACCUCUCAUCUCUCAUAUCUCACCCACCGCCUCUCAUCUCUUGCUAAACAAUCUCAGAUCUACUCUACUCUCAAUGAAAUUGUAAGCCUCUUUCAACGCAGCUUCCUCAUUUGUCUUCUCAUGGACUUGUAUUUCUCUGUCUCACCUCUCCAAAUUUUGUAAAUUCCGUUCUUUAAACUUGUAGAUCUUUUUCGGCGUGUUAAUGGCUUCUCAUCUUCUACCUUGUCGGCCUUGUGAAAGGCUAUUUUUGAAUUUUUACCAAUAAGAGAAAGCCUGGAAUGGCCUGAGUUAGAGCAGAAGAGAGUGCCCUUUAGCUGCAAGUUACAGGUGAAUGAACAAGACCCCUACAAUAGCAGUCAUCGAAGCAGAACUGAUUAAGAAGGCUUCUCUAAAUUUAAGGUCCUCAGUCGAAGAUGAAGCUGUAAUUAAUUCACGCCUUUUUCCAGGUAAAGAUAUUGCAUCCGUACAAGAAGAUGUGCAAGAACAAUGAGCUGAACAUACUGAAAGUUAUUAUAAAACAUUAUAAGUAUUAGUAAAUUUUGUGAGGAUUAGAUAAGAUUAGUAGAGUUGAAAAGAGCAUGGAGGUCUUGCCUUAUGACAGGAUAUACAGUCUCCAUGUAGACAGUGCUAGGUGUUUGUUUAGAUUACAUUCCCAUUAGCUGAGCCAUGAUGACAUAUCCAGAAGAAGUACAAUAAAGCAUCAUGUAAACAUGCCUGGAUUUUCCCAAUAUAAGUAACUGCUGUUAAUACAUGUAUUCUCUUAA
Long non-coding RNA from Spinacia oleracea (spinach), 1108 nucleotides. RefSeq lists it as uncharacterized. Lineage: Eukaryota; Viridiplantae; Streptophyta; Magnoliopsida; Caryophyllales; Amaranthaceae. The record is from RefSeq and is a predicted model, not a curated record. The transcript has 2 exons.